AAAAACUCAAUUCCUGGGUUUCCGUGUCUAACAUUUGACCGUUCGUCUUAUUUAAAAAAAUUAUAAAAAAAUUUUAAAAGAUAAGUCAUGCAUAAAGUAUUAUUCAUGUUUUAUCAUCUAACAAUAAUGAAAAUACUAAUCAUAAAAAAAUUUUAUAUAAGACGGACAGUCAAACGUUGAACACAAAAACCGAAGAAUUCGGUCUUU
Molecule: microRNA precursor, 207 nt
Filed under: Oryza barthii
Lineage: Eukaryota; Viridiplantae; Streptophyta; Magnoliopsida; Poales; Poaceae
Description: MIR812 microRNA precursor family
Rfam family: MIR812 microRNA precursor family
Source: Rfam by way of RNAcentral